RNAcentral lists this ribosomal RNA (749 nucleotides) under uncultured Lachnospiraceae bacterium. RNAcentral's name for it is "bacterial SSU rRNA". It matches the Rfam family "Bacterial small subunit ribosomal RNA", at positions 28 to 776 of the family's 1533-position model. Lineage: Bacteria; Bacillati; Bacillota; Clostridia; Lachnospirales; Lachnospiraceae. The record is from RNAcentral.
GAUGAACGCUGGCGGCGUGCUUAACACAUGCAAGUCGAACGAAGCUGCCUGGAGGAAGUUUUCGGAUGGAAUUUAGGUAGACUUAGUGGCGGACGGGUGAGUAACGCGUGGAUAACCUGCCUUAUACAGGGGGAUAACGGAGAGAAAUUUCCGCUAACACCGCAUAAGACCACAGCACCGCAUGGUGCAGGGGUAAAAUAUUUAUAGGUAUAAGAUGGAUCCGCGUCCGAUUAGCUAGUUGGUGAGGUAAAGGCCCACCAAGGCGACGAUCGGUAGCCGGCCUGAGAGGGUGAACGGCCACAUUGGGACUGAGACACGGCCCAAACUCCUACGGGAGGCAGCAGUGGGGAAUAUUGGACAAUGGGGGAAACCCUGAUCCAGCGACGCCGCGUGAGUGAAGAAGUAUUUCGGUAUGUAAAGCUCUAUCAGCAGGGAAGAAAAUGACGGUACCUGACUAAGAAGCCCCGGCUAACUACGUGCCAGCAGCCGCGGUAAUACGUAGGGGGCAAGCGUUAUCCGGAUUUACUGGGUGUAAAGGGAGCGCAGACGGCAAUGCAAGUCUGAAGUGAAAGGCGUGGGCUCAACCCAUGAACUGCUUUGGAAACUGUAUAGCUUGAGUGUCGGAGGGGUAAGCGGAAUUCCUAGUGUAGCGGUGAAAUGCGUAGAUAUUAGGAGGAACACCCGGAGGCGAAGGCGGCUUACUGGACGACAACUGACGUUGAGGCUCGAAGGCGUGAGGAGCAAACAGG